RNAcentral lists this long non-coding RNA (16656 nucleotides) under Capsicum annuum. RNAcentral's name for it is "long non-coding RNA (CANN_LNC007386)". The record is from RNAcentral. Lineage: Eukaryota; Viridiplantae; Streptophyta; Magnoliopsida; Solanales; Solanaceae.
CCAAAUCCCUAACCCUAACCCUAAUCUCCAUUUUCCUCCUCCUCAACCACUCCUCCUCGUUCGUCGACGGUGGCGCCGGCGAUAUCCUCGCCGAGCUAAUUCACCUCCGAUCACAAUCUCCCACCGCCGCAAUCCACCUCUCCGACCACCUCCUCCGCCGUAUCCUCUCCCUCGAUACCCCCCGUCCCUUCUCCUUCCUCAUCUUCUUCGACGCUAAACAGCUGCAUUCCAAACCUGAACUAUCCCUCCCAACUCUCAAAUCCGAAUUCUCCCUCUUAUCCUCUUCCUUCCUCACCAACAACCCGGAAGUCAACAACAAUUUCUUCUUCUUCACUAUCGAAUUCUCCGAAUCGCAGAACUCAUUCGCUUUAUUCGGGGUUAAUUCGCUACCCCAUUUACGUUUAAUUCCAAAUUCAGCUACUGAUUUAAAGAAAGAUUCGAUUCAAAUGGACGGUUCUGAUUUAGCGAGGUUAGCUGAAUCGAUGGCGGAGUUUGUAGAAGCUAAAGGGAAGGUUAAUGUAGGUCCAAUUCAUAGACCACCAAUGAUUUCGAAGAAGCAAAUGAGUGUUAUUGUUGUUGUUGGAUUAGCAUUGAGUCCAUUUUUGUUGAAAAAGAUUGUUUCAGGUGACACCCUUUUGCAUGAUAAGUAUGUAUGGAUGUUGGGUUCGAUAUUCGUUUACUUUUUCAGUGUUUCGGGUGCAAUGCAUAAUAUAAUUAGGAAAAUGCCGAUGUUUAUGAUGGAUAGAGAGGAUCCGGGGAAGUUGGUUUUCUUUUAUCAAGGUUCGGGGAUGCAGUUGGGAGCUGAGGGUUUCGCGGUUGGGUUUUUGUAUACGAUCGUGGGUUUGUUGUUGGCUUUUAUGACGAAUGUUCUUGUUCGUGUAAAGAGUAGGACUUUGCAAAGGGUGGUGAUGAUUACUGCGCUGUUUGUUUCGUUCUGGGCUGUGAAGAAAGUGAUUCAAUUGGAUAAUUGGAAGACAGGGUAUGGUGUUCAUGCUUAUUGGCCUUCGAGUUGGUAACUGAUGGCAAUGUCGUUAGGUAAGGGAAUUUGUAACAGCUUAUACUACAUGUCAGCUAGCUUAAUUUCGAACCUUAAGUAGUUGACGCGGAAAAGUUUUAGCUUUUCUCAAGAUGGAUAGAUUUUAUGAUGAUUUAUAUGGAAACAUUUAUGUUUUAAUUGAGGAUUUGAAAAUGGAUUAUGUACAAGUUGCACGUAUUUUGUAUCAAACUCUUUGCUUGGUUUAAUGUUCUUCUGGCAUUUAUCAAGUUUUGAAUUCCUUGCAUUUUCUCAUGUUAUUCUAUGUUGAUAUAUUAUGAGAAAUUGGUCUACCCGAACUUUGGUAAUGGUGGUACAGUGCUGGAUGUGUGAUAGAUGUCUAGGCCAACAUCAAUAGCUCGAAUAGACUAAGUCUUGUAUUUUAGCAGCAAAGGGCAGAGCUGUAGAGGUGUAGGGCCACAAUUGGCAGUUUCCAAGCUGAAUUAACAGUUUGUUGGUUAUAAGAAAAGAUGAAAAAUCAGCAAUUCGAUUGAGAAAUAAUUAAAGCUUUACUGAUUAAUAAGUUGAAAUGUUGGUGAUUACCACUUAGUAGGAUCGUUUUUUUCGUCUUCUCUGCUUUUGUGGCUAAAACAGCAUAUGGCCAGAUAAGGUUUAGUUAUUGUGUCAGCCACAGAGGUGUCGAACUUGGCCAUUACAUCCCUCUUGUUAUCUCCCAUAUAGACUUAAAAGUGGAUUUUAGGGUAACGUUGCUCAAGAGGUUCACCAACAUUCUAUGAGAUGAGAUAGUUGGACUAUAGAUUUCCUAUGACAACGAUAAGGAGCUUCAGAAAUAGUGGAAUAAUGGCUAAAAAUCUACACAAUGCCCUCAUGUUCCGUCUUAACCUAGCCAUAAUACACUUUGAUAUUGAUGGAGUUCUAUUUCUUGACAAAUUUACAAUACAUCAAUGAACUGAGAGAAGAUGCUUAUGUCUAAUAUGAGAGUAGACCAAAGAUCUGAGUUGGAUGGUAGUUGCAAGUAAGUUAUGAUAUCCUAGCUCAAUUGAUAUGGGAGCAUUAGAAGCUGAUGCUACUGUCUUUGGUGGUUUAAUAUGUCGCAUACCAGAGUAACUUCUGCUAUAUAAUGAGUUUGAAGGUGAAUAUUAGCGCAUUAACUGGUUAGAUCUGUUGAGCUUUGGAGACUGGAGCUCAAUGCUUACCCCAAAGUCAUCUUUUUUUUUUUCUCUUUUAGUUAGUUUGAAAGGUGUCAUGAGAGUCACCUUUCUACUUAUAAAAAAAGCAAGAAGGCGUAAUGACUCAUGACUACGAAGGGAAGGUAACAGCUAGAAAGAAAUAGGAGAAAAGAGAGAGUGACACACCCAAGGGUGCGACCUAGUGGUCAAUGAAGUGGUUUGAGCACCUUGCGGUCUUAGGUUCACUUCCCAACAGGUUCUAGCCUUGGUGGACUAUGUUACCUGAUACCUGUUGUUGGUGCGAGGUGGCAGGUAUCUCAUGAAACUAGUCUAGGUGCGCACAUAAGCUGUCCCAGACACCACGGUUAUCCCAAAAGAUAUGAAAAAAGAGUGGCUAAGAUAGAUUUUGGACAGUAAUGGCAUACCAUUUUCUGUUUGCUAAGCUGAUAAAGGAAAUUGUUCACGACUUCGGAUGAUAGUGGCUAAGUGUCAGCAAAGCUUAUAUAUAUAUGUAUAUAUAUAUUGAGACUGCACAAUAGGAAGAGAUGUAACUUAGCAAAAAAAGGAGAGAAAUAGAAGCCUGCAUAGCAUUUGAUGAUAUUGACGAUAGCAGGAGAAUUCGCCGCUGGUUAGGUUUCCUUUAAAAGCAUACAUGCCAAGAAAGAAUUCUCAGUUUGAUGAUGUUUCUUGAUGCUUAGGCGAAGGCCGUGAAAUUUACACUUGGAAGAAAGCAAUGAAAUAGGAAUCUAGAGUGAAACUGUGGUGUGAUAGUAUAUAUUCCAGUACUUUUAUCAACAAUUUGAGCAUGCAAUUUGAGGCAUGGUAUUAGAUGUUGGAAGUGAUUUCACUCUUUGUAAUUGGUUAAAUUUACUUGAUCUUAAAUGUCUUCCCUUGCUUAUAGAUUUAUUGCUGGGACUUCUGUGCUUUCAAAUGAAAUAUGUGAUCUCUUUAUUGUUUUCUGAGUAAAGCAUCACUUCCAACAUCUAAAUGAGCGUAUUUUUGUCGGCCGUUUUAGCUGACGUGACACCUUUUGCCAAACUUUUUAGCUGACAUGACACCUUUGACAUGGACCCUAUUUUAUGUAAUAAGGGUGUUAUGUUAGCGCAAAGGGGUGGCAAAAAUACGCUAAAAUUGAGUGAUCCUGUGAAGUUGGAGUGUGCCUUUUUAGCUGGCAUGACACCUUUUGCCAACCUUUUCAGCCGACUGGACAACUUUGAUGUGGGCCCCACUUUACGUAAUAAAGGUGUUACGUCAGCGCAAAAGGGUGACAAAAAUAUGCUAAAAUUGAGUUUAGAGGGGUUAAUAGGACCUCUAUGAAGUUGGGGUGUAUCGUAGCAACUUUGGCCAUAAUUCGAGGGGAUAUUGGAUGCUUAUCUCUUGUUUUUUCUUUUCUUUUUGGGUUGUGAAAGAUGUGAUCUCUUUAUAGAGGCGUGAGCUAGCGUCUAAGGCGGAAUAAUCUUCAAAAAGGACUGUGAUCAAAGAUCAAAGUUACUUGUUUGUGGCAUGCUUAAAUAACAUAAAUAUACAACUUACCAUGUUUACCCAAAUCCUCAUUUUUGCAAAGUAAUUACAAAAAUUUUAACUAAUUAUGUAUUUUUACUGGAUGUAUCGAAAGUUAAUUAUGUAUCUCGAUGGAUUUGAAAUCAAAAAAAAUAUAUUGGGAGCUAAUUAUGUUUCUUACAAAGAAAAAUAUAUUUUUGUUGGAUGUAUUAUGUAUUUUGACAGACUCAAAAUAAAAAAAAAAAUAUGUUGAGAGCUAAUUAUGUAUAUUUACAAAAUCAAGGUGACAUUAAUUAUUUUUUGAUAUCAAUUUUUACUUGUCUUAUCUUAAGCUUUUAAGAAGUGUUUUUCACAAAAUGCUAUACUAUUAAGAAACAGAACUUGCAAAAAGGCACGUAUUCUCCCAAGAAAUUUUAUUUAUAUAAUAAGGUGCUUCAGUUGUUGUAACUUGUUAUAUUUUCCAAUAAAAAUAAAUGAAACUAAGAUUCAAAUUGUAAUGAAGAGACAAAUCAAAGGUUUAAUUAAAGGUAAAAAAAAAAAAAAAAUUUACAACAAAAAAUUAUGGUGAAAUGAUAAGUAUUCUUUCAUCGCAAAAUUGAGGUUGGAGUUAUGAAAAUGAAAUCAUCUUUAGUAGAAAAUCACUUUACGAAAUAGAUUUUUUUGCAAAUUCGCCUCUGCUCAAAGCGGGUGCCAAACAAGUAAAAAUGGAUGGAACGACUAUUCCAAAAAUAAAUUUUUAUUUUUAUUUGUUGUUUUUAACAUAUCGAGAGAUCAAUUAUUCUGUCCGUUUACUCAACAAUAAUACUUAUUUCUAAAACCAUCCAUCUAUUAUACUUAUUUCUAAAACCAUCCAUCUAUUAAUAUGAGUAUUGUGACAAAAUAAUCACUCCAUUCGUUUAAAAAUUGGUGACCCUUUUUAUUUGACAGCCCAUAAGAAAAUAUUUAUAGGAAUUUAUUUUACAAAAUUAGUCUUAUUAAUUAUACUUUGAAACUAUAAAUUUGAGUAAAUACAUUUUGUAAUAUUGAGGGUAGCAUUGGAAGAACAUAAUAAAAUACUCCUGAUUUCAUAAAAGGGACAAUUAAAUUGAAACAAAUAUUUUUAGAAAGAGGGUCAACUAAAAUGAAACGGAGGAAGUAUAUUAGUUACUCCAUCCAUUUAAAAAAGAAUAACUUUUCGUUUUAGUCAAUUUAAAAAAGAAAUGACCCUUUUCUAUUUUGGCAACACUUUAACUUCAACUUUUCACGUGACACAUUUAAGACAACAAGAUUAAAGGUCAUUUUGAUACAUCUGACAUAACUUUAAUUCAAGACUACAAAAUUCAAAAGUUUCAUUAUUUUCUUAAGGCAAAAUGACUCAAUGACCUUUGUACUAUGUCCGUUUUGUAACGUGGAUAUGCCUACUUACAUGUUUGUCAUCUGCACCUUUGAACCCACUAAAAAGCAACAUUUUAAGCACUUUUUUGGAGAGUGUAAACACACUCGCCCCACGUCAGCUGCCAUGUCAGCUUCCACAUCUGUCAUGUCAGCUUCCACAUCAUUCUCAAGUAUUACAUUAAAUUUCAGGUCAUUUUUUAAAAUCUGCAUAAGAAAUUAAAUAUUAAAAAUAAAUUUAAUUAAAUAAUUUUUUGUAUAAAUUGUAGAAAAAUUUAAAUAAUCAUGUUUUUAUUUUUGCUCACAAAUUAAAUAUCAAAUUCAUUCCAAAUAAUUAAAAUUCUUCUCCAACUAAUUUAAAUUUUUAACUAUAAAUUCAAAUAUACAAAUAUAAUGAAUUUUUUAUUUUUAAAUUUGAAUAUCUUUAACAAAUUCACAAAAACUAUAAGUUUUUUCAAGUUUAUUCAUGAAAUUCACUAAUUUUUCAACAUCCACUAUCACUCACUUUCAAUUUAAGUUUUAAUUUUAAUCCCCCAAAAAUAUGAAAUAAUUUCAAAUUUAAAUUUUAAUCCAAAAAAAAAAAAGAUAUGAAAAGAUUUGAAUUUAGAGAAAAAAUUAAAAAAUAAAAUAAAAAGUGAGGGGUGAGGGUGCUGGACGGGACUGAAGUGGGGAAGGGGGCUGGACAGUGAUGGGGUAGGGGUGGCUGGAUGGGGGGAGGGNNNNNNNNNNNNNNNNNNNNNNNNNNNNNNNNNNNNNNNNNNNNNNNNNNNNNNNNNNNNNNNNNNNNNNNNNNNNNNNNNNNNNNNNNNNNNNNNNNNNNNNNNNNNNNNNNNNNNNNNNNNNNNNNNNNNNNNNNNNNNNNNNNNNNNNNNNNNNNNNNNNNNNNNNNNNNNNNNNNNNNNNNNNNNNNNNNNNNNNNNNNNNNNNNNNNNNNNNNNNNNNNNNNNNNNNNNNNNNNNNNNNNNNNNNNNNUGGGGGAGGGGGGCUGAGGGGUGGGGUGGGGGUGGGGUUGGCUAGACGGAGGGAGGUAGGAGUAUUUUUAUUGAGUUGAAGGGUCCGAAUGAUAUACAUGUAAGUAGGAGUAUUUAUAUUACAAAACGGACAUAGUACAAAGGUCCAUCGAGCCAUUUCAGAGAGUUCAUCCGAAUCAUCUUCGACAAAAAAUUAUACUGUUUAUACAUGAUUAAAAUUAUUUUUUAUGUAUAUAUAGUUGAUGUUGAAUCCCAUUCAGCCCGUUAGUACUGACUGUGCCACGUUUAAAGUGGAUAAAUAAAAGUCAAUAGAGGGACCAUGAGAUAAUAACAACAGAAACAAAGGAUAAUAAGUAUGCUUUAUAAUUUAUCAAACUUAGUGCGAACUGACAAAGCCAACGGUAACUUAAACUUUAUUUAUUUAUUUUUGUUCCAAACCGUUGUGUCCCCCAAAAGUUCUCCAUUAUCAUCAUGUUCAUAGUUCAUAAUAAUAUUCAUAGUUUCCUUCAUUGAAUUAAAAAAAAAAAAUGAAGUGCUUUUCAACUUGUUUUCGUACUAAUUCCAAUCAUAAGAAAAUCAGCAUAAAAUCAUGUAGUACUACUACCAAGAUUAAUAGCAUCUCCCCUCAAGCUCUCCAGGUACGUAAUAAUAAUAAUAAUAAUUACUAUUAUGAUAUCGGAGUUAUAAUUUCGAGAUCAAGAAAAUUCUGUUGAUUAAAAGGAAGUUGUUAGGUACCCGUGAGUGUCAUGACGUGGUUGCUCACAUUUACUUUAAAUCGGAUUUUAAUACCAACACGAUCACUUUAGUUAGUUGUUUCGUUAUUGGUAUAGAUUCUCUUUUUAAAAAUUCAAUUGACUACUGCUAACAGACGAUAAAAAAUCUGGUUAAGAAAUUCAGUUGACUGAGAGGAAGCUUAUUGGUUGUUUGAAUUUGAAGUUUAAUUAACUUCUCAUGCUUUUAUUUUUCUAAAGGAUUUGCUCGAGACUUGCGAAAAUGGUAACAAAGAUGAAGCUCAGGACGAGGAGAUUGUGAAAUCCAUUACCCUCAUUGAAAAAUCGAAGUAAGUUUAAUUUUUUUUAAUUGUUAUUAUUUUCUUUUUUUGAUUUUGAAAAGAUGCAAUAUGUGUUUUUAAUUUUCAUAAAUUUGAACAAAGCAGAGAUAUAAGUAGCAGAGAGAAUUUUCUUGAGUUCGAAGAAAAUGGUGAAGUUUUUGUUGAAGCCAUUGAUAUUAAAAAAGAUGAAGCUAGGUACAAGAUUGUGAACUCCAUUAACCUGUUUGAAGAAUCCAAGUAAGCUUUUUUCUUUUUUUCAAAAAAGCGUAAUGGUUAAAAAUACACCCGAAAUAUCAUUUUUUUCGCGAGUUUCACACAUCAAAAUAUCGUGAAUUGUCUUAUGUACGUAUUGAAACACACCUCGACUGUCAGUUGUGUUCCCUUUUUUCUACAUAAACGAUGGUGAUAGUUCUAAUGGAAAACAGAACAAACAACUAAUAGUUGAGGUGUGUUUUUUAAUACGUAUGUAAUGAUAGUUCUUGUAGGGUGUAAAACUCGUGAAAAAAAUGAUAGUUCAGGUAUGUUUUUGACUAUCAACUCUUAAAAUACACCUGAAAUAUCACUUCUUCGCGAGUUUCACACCUCAAAAUAUCCUGAAUUGUCUUAUGUACAUAUUAAAACACACCUCGACUGUCAGUUGUGCUCCCUUUUUUCUACAUAAACGAUGGUGAUAGUUCAGAUGGAAAACGACUGAUAGUUAAGGUGUGUUUUAAUGCGUCUAUAAUGAAAGUUCUGGUAGAUGUUAGAGUGUAAAACUCGUGAAAAAACAUUGUUCAGGUGAGUUUUUGACUAUCUAUAUCUUAAAAUACACCUAAAAUAUCACCUUUUCACGAGUUUCACACCUCAAAAUAUCAUGAACUAUCAUAUAUAUAUGUAUUGAAAUACACCUCGACUAUCAGUUGUGUUCCUUUUUUUCUACAUAAACUAUGGCGACAGAUAGUUCAGAUGGCAAACAAAACGACUGAUAGUUGAGGUGUGUUUUAAUACGUAUGUAAUGAUAGUUCUUGUCGGGUGUAAAACUCAUGAAAAAACGAUAGUUCAUGUGUGUUUUUGACUAUCAACUCUUAAAGUACACUUGAAAUAUCACUUUUCGCGAGUUUCACACCUCAAAAUACCAUGACCUAUCAUAUAUAUAUGUAUUGAAACACACGUCUAAUAUCAGUUGUGUUCCCUUUUUUCUACAUAAAUGAUGGUGAUAGUUCAGAUGGAAAAAAGAACAACUGAUAGUUGAGGUGUGUGUUUUAGUACGUAGAUAAAGAUAGUCCUGGUAGGAAAAGGUAACAAUCGAGUGUUAGGGUGUAAAACUCGUAAGAAAACGAUAAUUCAGUUGUGCUUUUGACCAUCAACUCUUAAAAUACACUUGAAAUAUCACUUAUUCGUUUCACAACUCAAAACAUCCUUAACUGUCUUAUGUAUCUAUUAAAACACACCUCGACUAUCAGUUGUACUCCUUUUUUUAUACAUAAACGAUGUUGAUAGUUCAAAUGGAAAACAGAACGACUGAUAUUUAAGGUGUGUUUUAAUACGUAUAUAAUGAUAUUUUUGGUAGGAAAGAUAAAAAUCGAGUGUUAAGGUGUAAAACUCGUGAAAAAACGAUAGUUCAGGUGUGUUUUUGACUUAUCAACUCUUAAAAUGCACCUCAAAUGUCACUUUUUUUCUCGAGUUUCACACCUCAAAAUAUCCUGAAUUGUCUUAUAUAUGUACUAAAAAAGCACACCUCAACUAUCAGUUGUGUUCCCCUUUUUUCUAGACAAACAAUGGUUAUAAUUCAGAUGGAAAACAGAACAACUGAUAGUUGAGGUGUGUUUUAAUAUGUGUAUAAUGAUAGUGCUGGUAAGAAAAGGUUGCAAUCUGAGCGUUAGGGUGAAAAACGAUAGUUCAGGUGUUUUUGACUAUCAACUCUUAAAAUACACUUGAAAUAUCAUUUUUUGCGAGUUUCACACCUCAAAAUAUCCUGAAAUGUCUGUCUUAUAUAUGUAUUGAAAUACACCUCGACUAUCAAUUGUGUUCCCUUUUUUCUAUAUAAGCGAUGGUGAUAGUUCAGAAGGAAAACAAAAUGACUGAUAGUUAAGGUGUGUUUUAAUACGUAUAUAAUGAUAUUUCUGGUAGGAAAAGAUACAAAUCGAGUGUUAAGGUGUAAAACUCGAGAAAAAAAGACAGUUCAGGUGUGCUUUUGACUAUCAACUCUUAACAAAUUAUUCAUUUUUGUCCGUCUUGGCUCACUCAAAUCAUUCGAAAAAACAGGAAAAAUGAGGAAGAUGAGUUGCAUACAAGCUUCAGAAAGAAGGUUACAUUUGACCUAAACAUAUCGAUAAAUCAAGUUUGUGCAAAUUACUCGGAGAUCAGUCCGAGCAAUUUGCAGAAACAAAACGGAGAAGAAAAAGAAGAAGCGAACGAGCUUUCGAAUUCAAGUGUGUCAAGCUAUAUAUCUUAUCCUCCAAACCAUAGAUAUCAUUGCUGCAGAAAUAGUACUGCUGAUGAAUUCGAUGAUAUUGAUCUCGACGAUAAUGAGGAUGUUGAGUGUCCUCGAAAUGGACUAAUGUUUCAAGAAGAGUCGUCAUCUAACGAAUCAUUAUUUUCGCUCUCCAUAGACUCUACUAGGAGAGGAAAUAAUCAUACAAUAGAAAUAGAUGAAAAUAUGGAGGUCAAUAGUCCAUUGAAUCCAACACGAAAUCUGAGUCUACUGAAAGAUACUGGCGUUACAACAACAACGUCUCCAUCACUGUUGAAGACGAUGAAUCAACAAGAGAAGAACGUUGAUGUGAAUAUCCUAGAUUAUUGUAUCACGUAUGAUCAACGCGUACAAAAAGAGUCUAAUUUGAAGUGCCAGGAGAAUGAAGUAGUCGCAGUUGAUACCAGUCUUUCGAGUCAACUGAAAGACACAGGCAUUACAACAACGUCUCCCUCACUGUUCAAGACGAUGAAUCAACAAGAGAAGGAGAACAUUGAUGUGAAUAUCCUAGAUUAUUGUAUCACAUAUGAUCAAUGCGUACAAAAAGAGUCUAGUUUGAAGCGCCAGGAGAAUGAAGUAGUCGCGGUUGAUACCAGUCUUUCGAGCUGGUUAGUCCAAUCUUCUCAAGACGACACGCCAAAUUCCAAAAACAGCGGUGGUUCUGUCGGAAAUUUGCCUGUCGAUAGACCAAUUUUGGGAGCAUUGAGACUCGAAGAGUUAAAAGAUGAAAAGAACAGUGCAAUAGGGACUAUUGGAAGCUAUUUGAGACAUACAGGACAGCAGGCUACUGGCAUUUCAUCUUACUGAGGCGUUUCGUCGAGGAAAAUAGCAUGCGCGCUCCCAAGAGGAGGCGCGUUUCAUGUGUUAUGUUAAGUUUGUAUUGUUAUUUCAUAUUUAACUGUAAAAUAGUUUUAUAGAUAGUCUAAUAUAACAUAUUUGCUUACAUGAAAUUUACCUUUUAACUUAGGUACCACUGCUAUUGUCCCUUGUUUUUUUCGUUUUCCCGCCCGAUGUCAUGUACCUGUUUUAUGCACGACUAAUUUGAAUUUGCACAAAAAAUUUGUGAGUCUGUCGAGAUAUAUAAUUAGCUCUUGAUACAUUUUUUUUUAUUUUGAGUCUGUCGAGGUGUAUAAUAUAUCCAAGGAAGAUAUAUUUUUUCCUUGUAAAGAUCCAUAAUUAGCUUUCGAUACAUUUUUCUCGAUUUUUAGUCUGCCGAGAUACGUAAUAAAUCCAACGAAGAUAAAUUUUUUCUUGUAAAGAUAUACUAUUAGUUCCCGAUAUAUUUUUUCUGAUUUUGAAUCUGUCGAGAUACAUAAUACAACUAAUGAAGAUACAUUUUUCCUAGUAAAGAUACAUAAUUAGCUUCCGAUAUAUUUUUCCAAUUUUGGGUCUGUCAAGAUACAUAAUUAGCUCCGUGAUACUUUUGUAAUUACUUUAUAAGGGUAGAAAUUUGUAUAAAUAUGGAAAGUUAAGGUGUAUAUUUAUGUUAUUUAAUUUUUUCUAUUUAUAUAUGUACUUACACAGAAAUAUACAGCUAAAUAAAUUUAAGUAUAACAUAUUAAAUUAGUCAUACAAAGACUUUUGGAUUUGGAAAUAGUCUUCACUCUUGUCUUUAAUUUGAUAAAUAUAUACUACUUGGUUUAAUAAUAUUAGUAAUAAUAUAAGUAGCAUUAGAGUGAACUUUUGUCAAUAUCUCCUAAUUAUUGAAGUUUAAUGGUGCGAUUGCUCUUCAAAUGAAAGGGAAACAACUGAUGAGGUUGACAACUAUAUAUUAUAUCAAAUUAUUAAUUUUCUUAAAUUAAAGUCAAAAUAGAAGUUGAUUAAAUAUUUAUAUGUCACCUACUUUUCCUUAUCCUUAAUUUUAGAAAUCAACUAUUUACACGUCAAGCCAAUAUAUGCAUGCCAUGUGUUUGAAUUUAGAAUUCGUGUUACUUAAUCAUGAUUAAUUAACAUGUAUGUUAUUUAAUUUGAUCACUUAAUCAUGGUAAAAAAUAUUAAUUUGAUGUAUACACUGACUGCAUGUAAGUUUUUACCUUCCUUCUGUCCCAUAUUUAUGUGACUCUGGUUUGACACAAUGUUAAAGAAAGAAAACCUUUUGAAAUUUGUGGUCUAAAUAAAUCAGACAUUGGUGUAACUAUGAAUUAAUCUCAGUAAAGAUAAAAUAAGAUUUCUAAAGCUAAAUUAUUUCUGAAGAUAGAAAUAUGAUCUUUUCUUUUUGGACAAAUCAAAAAGAAAAAUCUAUCUGCUAGAAAAAAUAAUAAUGAAUUUGAUCGGCUAUCUACAUACAGAUCCUCAAAUAAAUAGAGAAAGUAACAAAUUAUAUAUGUUGUAAUAAUUGAGGUAUAACAAAUUAAUCCGAACACCAUCAUUAUAAAAAAUUUAAAAUUUGUGGUCUAAUAUAAAUAUUAGACAUUAGUGUGACUAUGAAUUAAUCUCAUUAAAGGUAAAUUAGAUUUCUAAAGCUAAAUUAUUUCUAAAUAUAAAAAUAAUAUGAACUAUUUUUUUGGACAAAUCAAAAAGAAAAAUCUAUCUGCUAGCAAAAAAUAAUGAAUUUGAUCAGCUAUUUAAAUACAGAUUCCCAAAUAAAUAUAGAAAGUAACAAAUUAUAUCUGAUGUAAUAAUCGAAAUUUAACAAAUUAAUCCGAAAACCACCAUUAUAAAAUUUUUUUUUACAACUUGUACUAUAAUAAUAUCUGUGCAUUUUUUUUCUCUCUCUCUCUCUUGUGUCCAUGUUCUUUGUAAGCUAAACCUCUCAAUCUUUCUUUCUAGACAAAAUUUUGUUAGUUGUCCACCUCUACUUCUAUUACCAUUUUUCUCUUUCAUUUUCUAUUUUUUCCAAAAAAAAAUUCUUCUCUACCUCUUUGAUUAUCCAAACAAAUCAAUUCCAACAUUCAAACUACAAAUAGAGAAAAAAAACAAAGAGAGAGAGAGAAAAACAAAUUAAAGGUUUUUUUUUUCAAGUCCUCUAGGCAUUUUUCGCCCAUCAUAAUCUCAUAUCAUAUAUAUUUUUUUCCCUUGAUUUCUUCUUUUAUUUGUUCUUCAUAUAUGCAUGCUUUUUUUGCAUGCAUAUAUAUAUAUAAGAAAAAAUAAAUAAAAGUUGAAGAUAUUAAUGGAGAAUCCAAUUAAAAUGAGAUAGAAAAAGCUUAUAUCCUUUAUCAUCACCUUUGUUUAUGCAUGGCUUAAGCAUUUAUCUUAAAAGGUAUUACAAUUAUUAUAUUAUUCAAUUCCAUUUCUUCUUUUCAUUAUUUUCAUUUUUGUUUCUUUUGUCAAUAAAGAAUUCAUUAACUUGUUUGGAAUUGAGGCGUUGUUUUUAUGGUCAAUGUAGAAUUCUUUCCUCCCAACUUGGGAUUUAAGAAAAAAAAUGCAAAAAUUUGACCCAUGCAAAAAUUCCAUUUACCAUAAUGUCGUGGUGAAUGAAUGGAAUAUUGGGCUCCCUAGAAGGUCUGGACAAUCCUUCUUCUUUUGAGCUGGUUUUUACGGUGUGAGUUGGCGCAAUGUAGACCCCCUAGGUGACCAUAAAAUUGUGGGGUGGGAAAAUACCCUUGGUCCAUGAAUGUGCACGUACCAGACCAGAUAGUGGAACCUCAGAUAAAGAAUGUCUUGAUUCGGGCGUGUGUGGGUGAUGAAUGGAACCCUAGGAUCGUAAUAAGGUUUGAGCAAUCAUCCUCCACCAUUUAAGCUAACUUUUGGGGCGCGAGUUAACCUCAGGCCACAAUUUCGAAACUUCUUUACAAUUUGAAUAUCCUUAGUAAAAUUCUGACACCGUCACUGCGACCUCAACCCUAGGAUCGUUAUAAGGCUUGGGUAACCACAAUUUCGAAACUUCUUUACAAUUUGAAUAUCCUUAGUAAAAUUCUGACUCCGUCACUGCGACCUCAACCCUAGGAUCGUUAUAAGGCUUGGGUAAUCAUCCUCCGCCCUUUAAGCUAUCUUUUAGGGUGCGAGUUAACCCCAAGACACAAUUUCAAACUUCUUUACAAUUUCAAUACCGUUUAGUAAAAAAUAAAAUUCUAACAAAAGCUCCUUUUUUUUUUUUUGGUUAGGCAAAGGAAUCAGUUCUUGUCAUUGGAGUGGUCCUUCUAUCCUUGUUCUAUUUCAUAUCUAUUAUUAGCCUUUUGGGCCUUUACAAUCUAUACAAUGGCAACCAAAGUGAAGGGGAUUUACAAAUAUAUCACAAAUAUUUUUGGUAAUCAUUUUUUCCCCUUCUUUAGAAGUGUGUUUUCUUGAUAUUUUGGUUAAUUUUUGGAGGUUAAAAGUGAAAUAAUUAGUUUGUAAAUUUACAGUUGUUAAUAAGGAGAGGGAGUUGGAAAUUGGAUGUCCAACUGAUGUUAAACAUGUGGCACAUAUUGGUUGGGAAGGUCCCUCUGGAGGUGCACCUACUUGGGUAUGUUACCUUUUAGCUAUGCAAAAAAUUUAUUUGCACUCGAUGUUUAAUUUGCAUGAAACUAAGGAAUGUAAGAUGUUAUGUAUUUUUACUCGAGUUUGUAACUCUUAAAGUUGUCUCCGUGAGACCUACCGAUCACGAGUUUGACCUGCUAAAUCGGUCGUCGGUCGCUAAUGCUUGUGUCAGCAUAGGCUGCACACAUUACACCCCGUGGGUUGUAGCCCUUCACCGAGCUAUUAAAUGGAUCGUGUUGCUUUGAAGAGGCAGACGGAACUUUUUUUAAGUCAUAUGAGCGAAAAAACAAAAAAAAGAGAAUUUUUUGACAAUUUUUCGUGUAUGUUAGCUUAUGAAUUGAUGGGAGAUGUUGGCGUCCGAAUGGUUUUUGGGCAAAAAUUUCUCAAGUGGGCUCGUGAUGACGACCUAUUAAAUGGAUCAUGUUGCUUUGGAGAGACGGACAGAGCUUAGAUCGUGUUGCUUUGAAAAGGCAGACGGAACUUUUUUUAAGUCAUAUGAGCGAAAAAACAAAAAAAUGAGAAUUUUUUGACAAUUUUUCGUGUAUGUUAGCUUAUGAAUUGAUGGGAGAUGUUGGUGUCCGAAUGGUUUUUGGGCAAAAAUUUCUCAAGUGGGCUCGUGAUGAUGACCUAUUAAAUGGAUCAUGUUGCUUUGGAGAGACGGACAGAGCUUUUUUGUGGCAUAUGAGUGAAUAAAACUAAAUAUUGAGGAGUUUUUCUGAUUUUGUGUUUUUUUUUUUUUCUUUUGGUUUUCCAUCCUGCGUCCGGUACCCGCAUUGGACUCCGACUAAUCCGGAUUCGCGCCGCGUAGGGCCCCAUUCGGGGGGAAGCGCUCCCUACCAAGGAUUUUUCCAUACCCAGGGCUCGAACCCGAGACCUCUGUUUAACGGAGGAGCAGUCUCAUCCGCUGCACCACAUCCUUUGAUGGUGAUUUAUGUGUGUGUUGUUAGACUAUGUAUUGAUAGGGGAUGUGGGGUUAAUGAAUAAAUUUUGAACGAAACUUCUUGAGUGGGCUCGUGACGACCUUUUAAAUGGAUCGUGUUGCUUUGGAGAGACAGAGAAUUUUUUUGUGCAUAUGAUCCCUGUGUAAAUGCAGUAUGCUUCCUUCAUCGAGCUGACCUUUUUUAUUUUACUUCAGUUUGUGACUCUUAAAGUUGCCUUUGUAUGACCUAUAAAUUCAAGCGGUAGAAUCAAUAACUAAUGCUUGUGUCAGGAUAGGAAGCCGCUUAUAUUACAUCCCCUGGGGCGUGACCACUCCUCGGAUUCUGCAUGAACACGAGAUGCUUCAUGCAUUGAGCUAUCUCUUUUUCGUAACUCUUAUAAUUAAUUUGUUUGGAUUAUGUUAUUUCCUAUAUGCCUAACAGAUUAUUUUUUUUUUGAAAUUGAAGAUGAAAACAUUCAAGGCUGGGCCUGAAUUUGCAGCAACUUCUUUUGGUAACUCUGGGUCUGCUAUUUCUUCAUGGUCAUCUCAAGGUUAGUUUUGCUUAACAUCCUUUCUCCUUUUGCACGCGUGAUGUUCAGGUCAGCUUUUGGCAAAUCGACUAUUUUACGAGUACCUUUUACCUCCCAUCAAUACAAGUACUGAAUAACUCUGUCCAUCACGACUAAGACUUAACUAAAUAUGCUACACGUUACAAAUUCAACAUAAGUGUUUUUUCUUUUCUGUAAGAUUUUUUACCAUUCUUUGUCUAGAUUGUCCUAUCUUGAGCCGGGGGUCUAUCUGAAACAGCCUCUCUAUCUCACAUCUGAGGUAGCGGUAUGGACUGCGUACAGUUACCUUCCUCAGACCGCACUUGGUGGGAAUAUACUGGGUAUGUUGUUGUUAAGAUUUUUUAUGUCAGGAAAGGGAAAACUUUUUUGGCUCAUCUGUCACAAUAUAAGAUAUCUGUAACAUGACCCAAGAAAGAGACAGAACUUAUCUGUGAUGUCUUUGUCUAAAGUAAUGUUGGCUUGUAUGCAAGAUCUUUGACAUGUACUAUGGCCCCUAUUGUAGUCAUCACACAUUUAAAAAGGACAGCCCGAUGCACUAAAGCUCCCGCUAUACGCAGGGUCCGGGGAAGGGCCCUACGACAAGGGUGUAUUGUACGCAGACUUGCCUUGCAUUUCUGCCAGAGGCUGUUUCCAAGUCUUGAACCCGUGACCUCCUGGUCAUAUGGCAGGAACUUUACCAGUUACACAUUUGUGAAAAGAAAUUAGAACUUGAUUGAAUACGGCCCCUUAAACUUGCGAGUUUUUGACUUAGACACUCGUACUAAGACUUGUACUUAUCGAACAUCUGAAGUGAACGACAAUCUAAAAGUGAGUGUUUAUCCCUCGCUACCAUGUUAACACAUUGUGUUUAGUUGGCAUUGUCUUUAUAGAUGUUGAGUGUUUAAUAUCCACAAAUGCUCCUUCAGAGGCGAAUUCAGAAUUCAGAGUCUUAACGAAUAUUGAACUUGUUCGUUUGGAAUCUAGGUUCUUCUACUUCAUGUUUACAUUCUGACUAUAUACGCUUAUGACCUUCUGCGCACCUACUUAUGCAUAUACAAUAUACAAGACUUAACAACCCAAAAAGCAAACGAAUUCAAUUGAACCACCUCUGUAUACUACUCGUAUUUUACUUCAAUGCACACGCGUAUUUUUGACAGGUUGCGGAGAAUCAACAAGGCAACUAACAACAGCUAACAUUUACAAAGGCAUUUCAACUUCAGACGUUGCUAGUCCUCCGAAGAAACACAGACGUAGGAAGCCUAAGUCGACUACUUCCUCACCAA